This 431-nucleotide ribosomal RNA is filed under the name uncultured bacterium. RNAcentral's name for it is "partial 16S ribosomal RNA". It matches the Rfam family "Bacterial small subunit ribosomal RNA", at positions 29 to 507 of the family's 1533-position model. The record is from RNAcentral.
AGCGAACGCUGGCGGCAGGCCUAACACAUGCAAGUCGAACGCCCCUUCGGGGGAGUGGCGGACGGGUGAGUAACGCGUGGGAAUGUGCCCUUUGGUACGGAACAACUGAGGGAAACUUCAGCUAAUACCGUAUGUGCCCUACGGGGGAAAGAUUUAUCGCCAUUGGAGCAGCCCGCGUUGGAUUAGGUAGUUGGUGGGGUAAUGGCCCACCAAGCCGACGAUCCAUAGCUGGUCUGAGAGGAUGAUCAGCCACACUGGGACUGAGACACGGCCCAGACUCCUACGGGAGGCAGCAGUGGGGAAUCUUGCGCAAUGGGCGAAAGCCUGACGCAGCCAUGCCGCGUGAAUGAUGAAGGUCUUAGGAUUGUAAAAUUCUUUCACCGGGGAAGAUAAUGACGGUACCCGGAGAAGAAGCCCCGGCUAACUUCGUG